GCAGGUUGUUUUUUUCUUUAUCUACGGCAGUAGGAAUAGGGAUUGGAGGACUGGGGUUGGUGGGGUGUGUAGCACGGUACCUAACACGGCGGCGGGGCGAGUUGCUAGUACCAGCAGCGAGGGAUGGGGUAGGCGGCAGCGACGUGGGGCGUAGUUGGGAGACGGCGGAGGUGGCGUUUGGUAGAGAGAGGAACCUGGAGAGAGAACCUGGUCAUGCCCCGCCGCCGACGAAGGUCAGCGCACCACCGCUGUACCGACCAGCUCCCUUGAGCCCACUCCGAUUGAUAGAUAGACAGGGGUGGAAUACAAGGAGAAGAAGGUAGCUUGUAGUGCAGACGCCAAUGACGGUGUGUGCCGCGAGAGGAGAGGAUGUCGCUAGGACAACAAGGGGAGGUGUGUAGCCUGGUGGUACCGCGUCUUCAUGGGCGUCUUUUAACACGAGACCAUCGUUUAAGCCCACAAGAUUCAGCCGAUGGGCCGUUCAAGUCAAGUUACAGGACGUGUCACGUGUCAUAUUACGAUGUAACCUACCGCGAUAAUUUGUGAAGCUCAAGUACACUGUCUCGUGUCCUUUUCUUGAUAGCUUCCGUCCGGGGUGGAGGCUAACUAUAAUCCUUCCACCUUCCAACUGAUCGGUAGAGAAGGAGAGGCAGCAGAGAGGUACCACACGUACAAUUCUUGAAUACGUUGUCGCCUGUAGUUAAAGUACGUCGGCUACCGUAGUUGAAAACACCUCACGAGAAGACCCUAGACCAUGUUCAGGGAGGCUGUAUUCUAUUCCAAACCCGUACGGUCUCCUGUUUCGGUUAUUAGUUAACGUUUGACUAGCAUAGCAUGCGACAAGUGAUAGUUGUACAAACCAACCCACCUUUUCAGGGAAAAGGCUAAGUCGCGAAAGCCUUCUGUCAUGUUCAGCAAACCAAGUCGGGAAGACAAAAUACAAUGCUACGAUAGUCUAUGUCGUGAAGUGAAGGCGCUUUUGCAGGCUAGUGCCGAGCUAUGUCUUAGUACAGGUGAUUCAUAAGUGAGCACCGACUCGGUUUGUUUUUUGUAUAAGACCUCCUUUAUAACCUUCGUAGCGAAGGGCUAUAACUCUUAGCUUUUGCUAUGUUUACACCUUGGUUUGCGGAGGAUAUAAAGAAGUAGUCAAGGUGACCCUUUUAUACCUUACUAAUACAUAGUUAUUUAGUACACAAUCAGGUCUGUGUUUGUAGCUACAUUUCGAGUUCCAAACAAUUCAACAAACCAACAUGCACACUGAACCAAGUAUAUGUAUAACGAUCGAUGAAAUAAAAAGCAAGUAAUUAUUAUGAUAUAAAUUCUUUUAAUG
Molecule: ribosomal RNA, 1330 nt
Filed under: Triticum aestivum (bread wheat)
Lineage: Eukaryota; Viridiplantae; Streptophyta; Magnoliopsida; Poales; Poaceae
Description: partial small subunit ribosomal RNA
Source: RNAcentral